This 513-nucleotide ribosomal RNA is filed under the name uncultured bacterium. RNAcentral describes it as "partial 16S ribosomal RNA". It matches the Rfam family "Bacterial small subunit ribosomal RNA", at positions 28 to 523 of the family's 1533-position model. The record is from RNAcentral.
GAUGAACGCUGGCGGCGUGCCUAAUACAUGCAAGUCGAGCGAACAGACGAGGAGCUUGCUCCUCUGACGUUAGCGGCGGACGGGUGAGUAACACGUGGAUAACCUACCUAUAAGACUGGGAUAACUUCGGGAAACCGGAGCUAAUACCGGAUAAUAUAUUGAACCGCAUGGUUCAAUAGUGAAAGACGGUUUUGCUGUCACUUAUAGAUGGAUCCGCGCCGCAUUAGCUAGUUGGUAAGGUAACGGCUUACCAAGGCAACGAUGCGUAGCCGACCUGAGAGGGUGAGCGGCCACACUGGAACUGAGACACGGCCCAGACUCCUACGGGAGGCAGCAGUAGGGAAUCUUCCGCAAUGGGCGAAAGCCUGACGGAGCAACGCCGCGUGAGUGAUGAAGGUCUUCGGAUCGUAAAACUCUGUUAUUAGGGAAGAACAAAUGUGUAAGUAACUAUGCACGUCUUGACGGUACCUAAUCAGAAAGCCACGGCUAACUACGUGCCAGCCGCCGCAGUAA